Molecule: long non-coding RNA, 596 nt
Filed under: Malus domestica (apple)
Lineage: Eukaryota; Viridiplantae; Streptophyta; Magnoliopsida; Rosales; Rosaceae
Description: long non-coding RNA (MDOM_LNC020784)
Source: RNAcentral
AGGAUUGAGGAAAUUCUCUAAGGCAUGUUACUAUAUUCAAAACAUUGUUUUAAUUGGUUAAUUGUGAAUUAGUAAGUAGUGACUAUGAUUAAGUAUGUGCUUAAGUGUUAAAUUGACUCAAUUCUGUGGGAAUGAUAAUCUUUAACAUGUCAUGUGCAUUGGAAAUCCCUAAGGCAAACGUUGGAAGGUUUAGGUUGUUUUUGUUUGUUUGGUUUCGUUUUGUUUUUUUUUUAUGUUUUAUUUGUUUUAUUUUGCUCGAGGACUAGCAAUAGCUAAGUGUGGGGGAAUUUGAUAGACGCAUAUUUAUGCGACUUAGUUAACUAGUUUUCUUGCAUUUACGUUAUUAGUUCUUAGUUAUUUUAGUACUUUAAGCCAUUUUCGUGUGUUUGUAGGUCCAAAGGGCUAAGGUAGCAAGAAAGUGCAUUUUGGAGCAGUUUUGAGCUUGGAAUGGAUUACAUAUGAUAUGAGCAAGAUGGAUGGACGAAUUUGAAGACAAAAGAGGCUAGGAACAUGCUAAAAAUUUGGUGAAACAAAUACAAGUUGCAAGAAGGGAUAAAUUUCUAGAAGGAUUGGCCAAAACUUCACUCAAAACCAUG